RNAcentral lists this ribosomal RNA (253 nucleotides) under uncultured bacterium. RNAcentral's name for it is "partial 16S ribosomal RNA". It matches the Rfam family "Bacterial small subunit ribosomal RNA", at positions 524 to 776 of the family's 1533-position model. The record is from RNAcentral.
UACGGAGGGAGCAAGCGUUACUCGGAAUUAUUGGGCGUAAAGGGCGCGUAGGCGAUCUGACAAGUCUGGUGUGAAAGCCCACAUGUUAACUGUGGAAGUGCAUUAGAAACUGUUGGAUUUGAGUUCAGGAGAGGAAGGCAGAAUUCCCGGUGUAGCGGUGAAAUGCGUAGAGAUCGGGAGGAAUACCAGUGGCGAAGGCGGCCUUCUUGACUGACACUGACGCUGAGGCGCGAAAGCCAGGGGAGCAAACGGG